RNAcentral lists this ribosomal RNA (868 nucleotides) under uncultured archaeon. Its description in RNAcentral is "bacterial SSU rRNA". It matches the Rfam family "Archaeal small subunit ribosomal RNA", at positions 27 to 900 of the family's 1478-position model. The record is from RNAcentral.
CUGCUAUCGGAUUGAUACUAAGCCAUGCGAGUCAUUGUAGCAAUACAAGGCAUACGGCUCAGUAACGCGUAGUCAACCUAACCUAUGGACGGGAAUAACCUCGGGAAACUGAGAAUAAUGCCCGAUAGAACAUUAUGCCUGGAAUGGUUUAUGUUCCAAAUGAUUUAUCGCCGUAGGAUGGGACUGCGGCCUAUCAGUUUGUUGGUGAGGUAAUGGCCCACCAGGACUAUUACAGGUACGGGCUCUGAGAGGAGUAGCCCGGAGAUGGGUACUGAGACACGGACCCAGGCCCUAUGGGGCGCAGCAGGCGAGAAAACUUUGCAAUGUGCGAAAGCACGACAAGGUUAAUCCGAGUGGUUUCUGCUAAAGGAACCUUUUGUCAGUCCUAGAAACACUGAUGAAUAAGGGGUGGGCAAGUUCUGGUGUCAGCCGCCGCGGUAAAACCAGCACCUCAAGUGGUCAGGAUGAUUAUUGGGCCUAAAGCAUCCGUAGCCCGGCUCUGUAAGUUUUCGGUUAAAUCUGUACGCUCAACGUACAGGCUGCCGGGAAUACUGCAAAGCUAGGGAGUGGGAGGGGUAGACGGUACUCGGUAGGAAGGGGUAAAAUCCUUUGAUCUAUUGAUGACCACCUGUGGCGAAGGCGGUCUACCAGAACACGUCCGACGGUGAGGGAUGAAAGCUGGGGGAGCAAACCGGAUUAGAUACCCGGGUAGUCCCAGCUGUAAACCAUGCAAACUCAGUGAUGCAUUGGCUUGUGGCCAAUGCAGUGCUGCAGGGAAGCCGUUAAGUUUGCCGCCUGGGAAGUACGUACGCAAGUAUGAAACUUAAAGGAAUUGGCGGGGGAGCACCACAAGGGGUGAAGCCUGCGG